Molecule: ribosomal RNA, 319 nt
Filed under: uncultured eukaryote
Lineage: Eukaryota
Description: partial 18S ribosomal RNA
Rfam family: Eukaryotic small subunit ribosomal RNA
Source: RNAcentral
CCCUUAGAUGUUCUGGGCUGCACGCGUGCUACAAUGGCGUUUCCAGCAAGUCUGCGAACCCGAGAGGGCCAGCGGAUCUUCGAAUUGGCGUCGUGAUCGGGACAGUCGAUUGCAAUUAUUUGACUCAAACGAGGAAUUCCUUGUAAUCGCGAUUCAUCAUAUCGCGCUGAAUACGUCCCUGCCCUUUGUACACACCGCCCGUCGCUCCUACCGAUUGAGCGAUCCGGUAAAUGUUUUGGAUUGGUGCCGGGGCGGCUAGCUGCCGGUCGCUACGAAAUUUUGUGAACCUUAUCGCCUAGAGGAAGGAGAAGUCGUAACA